GGACGGUUAGCUCAGUUGGUAGAGCAUCGCUUUUACACAGCGGAGGUCGCAGGUUCGAGCCCUGCACCGUCCA
This 73-nucleotide transfer RNA is filed under the name Candidatus Uhrbacteria bacterium RIFCSPHIGHO2_02_FULL_46_47. Its description in RNAcentral is "tRNA-Val". It matches the Rfam family "tRNA". Rfam says of the family: Transfer RNA (tRNA) molecules are approximately 80 nucleotides in length. Their secondary structure includes four short double-helical elements and three loops (D, anti-codon, and T loops). Lineage: Bacteria; Candidatus Uhriibacteriota. The record is from RNAcentral. RNAcentral also lists the same sequence under 4 other names.